ACGCAUCCUUUGCUGAAGGCAAUGGUUAACGGAGCGAAAGCGACGUUCAACCGCAAAACAAGCAGAGGGGGCUUAGUGGUGGGGUGACUGCGUACCUUUUGUAUAAUGGGUCAGCGACUUAUAUUCUGUAGCAAGGUUAACCGUAUAGGGGAGCCGGAGGGAAACCGAGUCUUAAUUGGGCGUUAAGUUGCAGGGUAUAGACCCGAAACCCGGUGAUCUAGCCAUGGGCAGGUUGAAGGUUGGGUAACACUAACUGGAGGACCGAACCGACUAAUGUUGAAAAAUUAGCGGAUGACCUGUGGCUGGGGGUGAAAGGCCAAUCAAACCGGGAGAUAGCUGGUUCUCCCCGAAAGCUAUUUAGGUAGCGCCUCGUGAAUUCAUCUCCGGGGGUAGAGCACUGUUUCGGCUAGGGGGCCAUCCCGGCUUACCAACCCGAUGCAAACUGCGAAUACCGGAGAAUGUUAUCACGGGAGACACACGGCGGGUGCUAACGUCCGUCGUGAAGAGGGAAACAACCCAGACCGCCAGCUAAGGUCCCAAAGUCAUGGUUAAGUGGGAAACGAUGUGGGAAGGCCCAGACAGCCAGGAUGUUGGCUUAGAAGCAGCCAUCAUUUAAAGAAAGCGUAAUAGCUCACUGGUCGAGUCGGCCUGCGCGGAAGAUGUAACGGGGCUAAACCAUGCACCGAAGCUGCGGCAGCGAACGUAUCACUUAAAGCGAUUCAGCGGGUUACGAUUGACGGAGCGAAGCGACGUCAAAGCGUAUACAAAGUCGAGUCGGUUUAAGGAUACGUUCGUUGGGUAGGGGAGCGUUCUGUAAGCCUGCGAAGGUGGCCUGUGAGGGUUGCUGGAGGUAUCAGAAGUGCGAAUGCUGACAUAAGUAACGAUAAAGCGGGUGAAAAGCCCGCUCGCCGGAAGACCAAGGGUUCCUGUCCAACGUUAAUCGGGGCAGGGUGAGUCGACCCCUAAGGCGAGGCCGAAAGGCGUAGUCGAUGGGAAACGGGUUAAUAUUCCCGUACUUGGUGUUACUGCGAAGGGGGGACGGAGAAGGCUAUGUUGGCCGGGCGACGGUUGUCCCGGUUUAAGCGUGUAGGCUGGUUUUCCAGGCAAAUCCGGAAAAUCAAGGCUGAGGCGUGACGACGAGGCACUACGGUGCUGAAGCAACAAAUGCCCUGCUUCCAGGAAAAGCCUCUAAGCAUCAGGUAACACGAAAUCGUACCCCAAACCGACACAGGUGGUCAGGUAGAGAAUACCAAGGCGCUUGAGAGAACUCGGGUGAAGGAACUAGGCAAAAUGGUGCCGUAACUUCGGGAGAAGGCACGCUGACACGUAGGUGAAGUGAUUUACUCAUGGAGCUGAAGUCAGUCGAAGAUACCAGCUGGCUGCAACUGUUUAUUAAAAACACAGCACUGUGCAAACACGAAAGUGGACGUAUACGGUGUGACGCCUGCCCGGUGCCGGAAGGUUAAUUGAUGGGGUCAGCGCAAGCGAAGCUCCUGAUCGAAGCCCCGGUAAACGGCGGCCGUAACUAUAACGGUCCUAAGGUAGCGAAAUUCCUUGUCGGGUAAGUUCCGACCUGCACGAAUGGCGUAAUGAUGGCCAGGCUGUCUCCACCCGAGACUCAGUGAAAUUGAACUCGCUGUGAAGAUGCAGUGUACCCGCGGCAAGACGGAAAGACCCCGUGAACCUUUACUAUAGCUUGACACUGAACAUUGAGCCUUGAUGUGUAGGAUAGGUGGGAGGCUUUGAAGCGUGGACGCCAGUCUGCGUGGAGCCGACCUUGAAAUACCACCCUUUAAUGUUUGAUGUUCUAACGUGGACCCGUUA
RNAcentral lists this ribosomal RNA (1824 nucleotides) under Salmonella enterica. Its description in RNAcentral is "partial 23S ribosomal RNA". It matches the Rfam family "Bacterial large subunit ribosomal RNA", at positions 1 to 2238 of the family's 2925-position model. The record is from RNAcentral. Lineage: Bacteria; Pseudomonadati; Pseudomonadota; Gammaproteobacteria; Enterobacterales; Enterobacteriaceae.